RNAcentral lists this long non-coding RNA (2132 nucleotides) under Homo sapiens (human). RNAcentral's name for it is "HSALNT0117158". Lineage: Eukaryota; Metazoa; Chordata; Mammalia; Primates; Hominidae. The record is from RNAcentral.
CUCCUCCAAGCGAAGGGAGGACACCAGGCACAACAGCGUAGAGUGUGGAGUCAGGAGCGUUUGGAGAAAAGCAAACAGGAAAGGUAUGGAGCACCCACCGGGGGCAUCUAUGUAGAAUUAUUGGACAUGGAGUCAAGGACAGGAUGACAUUUUAGGGGACAUAUAAGGAUAUGAGGGGCAGGCAGUUUGGAUGACGAGGGGAAGGGCAUCCAUGCAGAGGAAUAGGUAGGAGGCCCUGUGGGAGGCACAUGCUCAGCAUGGCCAGGGAUUGGCAGGAGGACCCUGGGGCCGAGUCAGGGAAUGGGGCGGCAGGAGAUAAGCUCAGACGUGAACUGUCAGGUAGGGCGUGGCACAGGCUUGUAACGAGGCCAUGGUGGGCUGCUGGAAGGACUUUGACACUGGAAGCCACUGGAGGGUUUUGAGCAGAAAAAUGAUUAGAUUUCAUUUUUCCAAAACAUGACCCUGGUGCAAAGAGUUUAGACAACGAAGUUGGGGGGCAUAUUGCCAACAUUACACUCACGUCUACCCCAAAUGCAGGUUCCAGGCUUCCGAAACAACCCUCAGCUUCAAUGAUUCACUGGAUGGACUUGUGGAAUUCCCUGAGAGCUGCUGUGCACAUGCUGACAGUUUAUCACAGGGCAAGGGUACAGAUAAAAUAAGCUGGGGCCAGAGCACACGGGGCGGCAUCCAGGAGAAGCCCUGAGGCAGCACUUCCAUCACACUCGGCCCAGGAUGAGCUGCUUCCUUGGCCUCCGUGUGUGACAACCCGCAGGGCUUCUGCUGCUGCCUGGCCUGGAGACCCCACUCAGUCACACCAUCACCAUCCAGCAAGCCCAAGGCACCCAGAAGGAUAAAGAUCGCUCCCAGGACCUGAGGACAAAAGCAGACAUUUUGGGGGCACGGGUAGAUUUUUACUACACACCUGGCUUCUGUGUGAAUGAGAAACCAUUGAGUCUCAGGAAAUGCUGUCAUCUUCUAUCUAAAUUUAUUUUCUUAUCCAGGGAAGGAACUGCAAACACAACUAAUAUACACGCACUGGAUGGAAUUCCACAGCAGGUGGGAGACUUGGGAAAGAUCCUUGUUUUCGUAAGAAAACACAAUCUCAGCUGGGUGCGGUGGCUCACGCCUGUAGUCCUGGCACUUUGGGAGGUCGAGGUGGGCAGAUCACCUGAGGCCAGGAGUUUGAGACCAGCCUGGAUAACAUGGUGAAACCCCGUCUCUACUAAAAAAUAUGAAAAUUAGCUGGGCCUGGCGGCACCACCUCCUCCUCCCCGCACAGGGACAGAUACUGACCGGGUGUGAGAGUAAGGCCCCGUGAAGACGAACCUUGGGGAGCUCACUGGGGUCCCUACUUGGAAUUUUAAAGCAAAACCAUGUUGCUGGAAGUGAAAUCCUCUUCAGAUUUACGAAUUAUGGGGCUCCAUUGGAGGAAACAAUCCCUAUGGGCCAAUGACCUCGUUUCAUCCCAAAUUAUCCUCUGGUUUUACAACUGGUUAGUUUCUUGUAUUUCCAGGAUUUAUAAAUUGCAAGUUUGCUUGUGAAGUGGUAGAAUCCAUUUUUGAAUUUGUUUCUUAACUAUUGAUAGGGCUAGUAAAAUUCAAAUGAUUGCAUAAACCUUAGAAACUAAGGUCAGUUCAGUGAACAUUCUUGGUGCUAUUUCAACAAUCCUUGAAGGUUUAACACGUCUGUGAUAUUACUGUGUGAUUUCGUGUUAUCACUGUCUUAUGUGCAUUCUAAGCAUGAAACUGUGUCCAGUAGCUGUUUUUGAGGACCCUACUAAUUAUACAGCUGAUGGUAGCAUCAGCCGUUUGUUCAAUGUUAAAUUAUUUUGUAUUUUCUAAACAACUGACAUUUUCUCCUAGCAAACUACUGAUAGGAAAUUGUAUGUGCCAUGUUUUCUUCCAACAGUCUUGAAUAUGCCACUGCAUUCCUGCCUGGGUAAAAGAGUGAGACCCUCUCUCAAAAAAAAACUAAAAUGAAAAGGCCCAGGAUGAAAUAGAGUGUUUCAAAACCCACAGCUACUCCCCAUCCUUUUUCUAUCCCAAGAGCUGUGCCUCAGGGAUGUAAUAAAAUAAACAUACAAACUUUCUAAAGGCUGAUUUUACAAUUUUUAAUUAAAUAAAUACUACUCA